GCUAAACGCGAAGAACCUUACCAGGCCUUGACAUGCAGAGAACUUUCCAGAGAUGGAUUGGUGCCUUCGGGAACUCUGACACAGGUGCUGCAUGGCUGUCGUCAGCUCGUGUCGUGAGAUGUUGGGUUAAGUCCCGCAACGAGCGCAACCCUUAUUGACAGUUGCCAAUAUUAAGUUAGGAACUCUGUCAAGACUGCCGUUGAUAAAACGGAGGAAGGUGGGGACGAUGUCAAGUCAUCAUGGCCUUUAUGUUCAGGGCUACACACGUGCUACAAUGGAUGGUACAAAACGUCGCAAUCCUGCAAGGGGGAGCUAAUCGCAAAAACCAUUCUCAGUUCGGAUCGGAGUCUGCAACUCGACUCCGUGAAGUUGGAAUCGCUAGUAAUCGCAAAUCAGCAUGUUGCGGUGAAUACGUUCCCGGGUCUUGUACACACCG
RNAcentral lists this ribosomal RNA (436 nucleotides) under uncultured bacterium. RNAcentral describes it as "bacterial SSU rRNA". It matches the Rfam family "Bacterial small subunit ribosomal RNA", at positions 954 to 1392 of the family's 1533-position model. The record is from RNAcentral.